This 500-nucleotide ribosomal RNA is filed under the name uncultured bacterium. RNAcentral describes it as "partial 16S ribosomal RNA". It matches the Rfam family "Bacterial small subunit ribosomal RNA", at positions 30 to 523 of the family's 1533-position model. The record is from RNAcentral.
AUUGAACGCUGGCGGCAUGCCUUACACAUGCAAGUCGAACGGCAGCACGGGAGCAAUCCUGGUGGCGAGUGGCGAACGGGUGAGUAAAGUAUCGGAACGUGCCCAGUCGUGGGGGAUAACGUAGCGAAAGUUACGCUAAUACCGCAUACGAUCUAUGGAUGAAAGCGGGGGAUCGCAAGACCUCGCGCGAUUGGAGCGGCCGAUAUCAGAUUAGGUAGUUGGUGGGGUAAAGGCUCACCAAGCCGACGAUCUGCAGCUGGUCUGAGAGGACGACAAGCCACACUGGGACUGAGACACGGCCCAGACUCCUACGGGAGGCAGCAGUGGGGAAUUUUGGACAAUGGGCGCAAGCCUGAUCCAGCCAUGCCGCGUGCAGGAUGAAGGCCUUCGGGUUGUAAACUGCUUUUGUACGGAACGAAAAGGUUUGACUUAAUACGUUGGACUCAUGACGGUACCGUAAGAAUAAGCACCGGCUAACUACGUGCCAGCAGCCGCCGUAA